RNAcentral lists this small nuclear RNA (330 nucleotides) under Neotoma lepida (desert woodrat). RNAcentral describes it as "7SK RNA". It matches the Rfam family "7SK RNA". From Rfam's summary of the family: 7SK was discovered as an abundant small nuclear RNA in the mid-70s but a possible function has only recently been suggested. Two independent studies have found that 7SK RNA binds the CDK9/cyclin T complex (known as elongation factor P-TEFb). P-TEFb activates transcription by phosphorylating the C-terminal domain of RNA polymerase II. Lineage: Eukaryota; Metazoa; Chordata; Mammalia; Rodentia; Cricetidae. The record is from Rfam by way of RNAcentral.
GAAUAUAAGGAUGAUUUGGCAGUGACAUCUGUCACCCCACUGGUCACUAGGGUUGAUUAUUAGGCUGAUAUGGCUGCCCAGUUGGGUGUUCCCUUCUUUCCUCAUAGUUGCAAGUAUCUCCCUCCCAAAAGCCGUGUGCUCAGAUCAGGAGGGCAAAUUCCCCCAAAACUGGUGGCUUUGUUUCUUUUUUUUGGUUAAGGAUAUAUGAAUAGCUACACUCCCCACCAAAACCUCCAAACAAGCUCUAAAGAAACUAGAAAUGGAGUUUACAGGUGCUAAGGUUGUUACUCAUUUUUAUUUUGGUGCUGAGGAUCAAACCCACCGCCUUAU